RNAcentral lists this ribosomal RNA (497 nucleotides) under uncultured bacterium. Its description in RNAcentral is "partial 16S ribosomal RNA". It matches the Rfam family "Bacterial small subunit ribosomal RNA", at positions 28 to 507 of the family's 1533-position model. The record is from RNAcentral.
GAUGAACGCUGGCGGCGUGCCUAAUACAUGCAAGUCGAGCGAACAGACGAGGAGCUUGCUCCUCUGACGUUAGCGGCGGACGGGUGAGUAACACGUGGAUAACCUACCUAUAAGACUGGGAUAACUUCGGGAAACCGGAGCUAAUACCGGAUAAUAUAUUGAACCGCAUGGUUCAAUAGUGAAAUACGGUUUUGCUGUCACUUAUAGAUGGAUCCGCGCCGCAUUAGCUAGUUGGUAAGGUAACGGCUUACCAAGGCGACGAUGCGUAGCCGACCUGAGAGGGUGAUCGGCCACACUGGAACUGAGACAAGGUCCAGACUCCUACGGGAGGCAGCAGUAGGGAAUCUUACGCAAUGGGCGAAAGCCUGACGGAGCAACGCCGCGUGAGUGAUGAAGGUCUUCGGAUCGUAAAACUCUGUUAUUAGGGAAGAACAAAUGUGUAAGUAACUAUGCACGUCUUGACGGUACCUAAUGAGAAAGCCCCGGCUAACUACGUG